GGUUGAGGGGCUGUGCUCCCCUGGGGGAAAUGAAUGCUUGUUAAGUUCAACUCUUUUUUUCUUCUGCAAAUAUCACAAAAGGGUCUAUACCUGCUGUAAACUUAAUAUGCUUAAAGUGACAGCUAGGUAGCGGUGGGUAUUUGACUGACAGGAUUGUAGUCCUCACAGUGCUCUGAGAGGUGCAUGCACAACUAUCCUAAUUAAUAAUAGCUUUUCCCUUGGUACCGGUCUGAAAAAAGUGUAUCCUUUUGUUCACUUAUUCCUCUGAGCCUCAGCCACUAACUCCCAAACUUAAUUUUAUGUUCUCCAGGAAUUCCACUGAAUGCAGUAGAACUAUACAUGAGUUAAGCUGUGUACAGGUAAAUGAGCUUCGAACCUGGGGAGAAAACAUCAUCAUCAUUAUCAAAAGCAAACCAAGUCUACCAAAUGGAACCAUAUUUUCUACACAUCUGCCAUAUAUCUGCAAAUAUACCUUUUUAUUGAAUAUCCUGAACACAACUGCAGAAGAAGUCAACAGGGCAGCCAGUUGGCUGCAGGAGGGAACAAGCACAAGCAAGCGGGGACGUUGAUCUCAGUAAGAGUGGGAGCAAAUAGUGAGGGUGAAGCAGAUGGUGACUUUUUUAAUUUUAAUGAAGAUUAGAACCAGCAGCCUAGGGCCCAAGAAGUUGAGCAUUACUUCUUAUCUGUGAGAAACUUAUCUGAGAUGUCACUUACUUUGAAAAAAACUACUCAUCUGUUAUAACACAAGCAUUCCCUCAUCUGUCCAUGUAGAGCGAUUGUUCAGUAGUGGGGGCUUAGUUUUGCAAGACAGAAAAGGAAAAUUGUCAGAUGUACGUUUUGAAGCUUCUGCUGAAGUUCAAUAAGCAUGUUUAAACAGUUUUGCUAUGCAACUGAACAUUCUUUUUCUCAUUUAAACUGAUUUUCUCAUUUGAGUCUAAUUUAGAUUUUCAGUCAUUU
Gavialis gangeticus (Gharial) is the source of this 957-nucleotide long non-coding RNA. RefSeq lists it as uncharacterized. The record is from RefSeq and is a predicted model, not a curated record. Lineage: Eukaryota; Metazoa; Chordata; Crocodylia; Gavialidae. The transcript is spliced from 3 exons.